UAUAAAGGAUUUUGAGUUUUUGUUUACAACGUUUGACCACUCGUCUUAUUCAAAAAAUUUUAGAAUUAUUAUUUAUUUUAUUUGUGACUUACUUUAUUAUCCACAGUACUUUAAGCACAACUUUUCAUUUUUAUAUUUGCAAAAAAAAAAUUGAAUAAGAUGAGUAGUCAAACGUUGUAAGCAAAAACUCAAAAUUCUCCUUAUA
Molecule: microRNA precursor, 205 nt
Filed under: Oryza sativa Japonica Group (Japanese rice)
Lineage: Eukaryota; Viridiplantae; Streptophyta; Magnoliopsida; Poales; Poaceae
Description: MIR812 microRNA precursor family
Rfam family: MIR812 microRNA precursor family
Source: Rfam by way of RNAcentral